Prolemur simus (greater bamboo lemur) is the source of this 107-nucleotide small nuclear RNA. The record is from Ensembl. Lineage: Eukaryota; Metazoa; Chordata; Mammalia; Primates; Lemuridae.
GUGCUUACUUUGGCAGCACAUAUACUAAAACUGGAACAAUACAGAGAGGAUUAGCAUGGCCAUUGCACAAGGAUGGCAUGCAAAUUUGUGAAGCAUUCCGUAUUUUU